UUUUAAACACUCAAGGAUGUUUGGUAUGUAUAUCUUUGAUUGCUGCUCAACCUUUUUUUUCCUAUAUGAUGUUUACGCCUCGUGUUUACGCUCGAUUACAUUAUGAUUUCCAGUGAUAUUCAGCUUAAGAAAAAAGAUGCACAAAAGGACAAAUGGUGAUGUUCAGAUCAAAGGAGUUGAUCAUCUGUGGAAUCAGCAAAGCUACAUAGAAAUGAAUAGUCUACAACUUGAAAGUUGGGGUCUUAAAGGGCUUGCAAAUUUGUGGUUGGAGCUGAGAAUGAAAUCAGUCAAAAACAAUUUUAUUUUAUAACUUCUUUAAUUCAAAAGCUUGGUGAUUACAUUUUUA
Helianthus annuus (common sunflower) is the source of this 346-nucleotide long non-coding RNA. RefSeq lists it as uncharacterized. The record is from RefSeq and is a predicted model, not a curated record. The transcript is spliced from 2 exons. Lineage: Eukaryota; Viridiplantae; Streptophyta; Magnoliopsida; Asterales; Asteraceae.